RNAcentral lists this ribosomal RNA (680 nucleotides) under Salmonella enterica subsp. enterica serovar Derby. Its description in RNAcentral is "bacterial SSU rRNA". It matches the Rfam family "Bacterial small subunit ribosomal RNA", at positions 865 to 1533 of the family's 1533-position model. Lineage: Bacteria; Pseudomonadati; Pseudomonadota; Gammaproteobacteria; Enterobacterales; Enterobacteriaceae. RNAcentral also lists the same sequence under 4 other names. The record is from RNAcentral.
UAGACCGCCUGGGGAGUACGGCCGCAAGGUUAAAACUCAAAUGAAUUGACGGGGGCCCGCACAAGCGGUGGAGCAUGUGGUUUAAUUCGAUGCAACGCGAAGAACCUUACCUGGUCUUGACAUCCACGGAAGUUUUCAGAGAUGAGAAUGUGCCUUCGGGAACCGUGAGACAGGUGCUGCAUGGCUGUCGUCAGCUCGUGUUGUGAAAUGUUGGGUUAAGUCCCGCAACGAGCGCAACCCUUAUCCUUUGUUGCCAGCGAUUAGGUCGGGAACUCAAAGGAGACUGCCAGUGAUAAACUGGAGGAAGGUGGGGAUGACGUCAAGUCAUCAUGGCCCUUACGACCAGGGCUACACACGUGCUACAAUGGCGCAUACAAAGAGAAGCGACCUCGCGAGAGCAAGCGGACCUCAUAAAGUGCGUCGUAGUCCGGAUUGGAGUCUGCAACUCGACUCCAUGAAGUCGGAAUCGCUAGUAAUCGUGGAUCAGAAUGCCACGGUGAAUACGUUCCCGGGCCUUGUACACACCGCCCGUCACACCAUGGGAGUGGGUUGCAAAAGAAGUAGGUAGCUUAACCUUCGGGAGGGCGCUUACCACUUUGUGAUUCAUGACUGGGGUGAAGUCGUAACAAGGUAACCGUAGGGGAACCUGCGGUUGGAUCACCUCCUUACCUUAAAGAAGC